UACGUAGGUGGCAAGCGUUGUCCGGAUUUACUGGGCGUAAAGAGCGCGCAGGCGGUCGUUCAAGUCGAGUGUGAAAGCCCCCGGCUCAACUGGGGAGGGUCACUCGAUACUGAUCGACUCGAAGGCAGAAGAGGGAAGCGGAAUUCCCGGUGUAGUGGUGAAAUGCGUAGAUAUCGGGAGGAACACCGGUGGCGAAGGCGGCUUUCUGGUCUGCUCUUGACGCUGAGGCGCGAAAGCUAGGGUAGCAAACGGG
Molecule: ribosomal RNA, 253 nt
Filed under: uncultured bacterium
Lineage: Bacteria
Description: partial 16S ribosomal RNA
Rfam family: Bacterial small subunit ribosomal RNA
Source: RNAcentral